GUAUCACAUAGGGCCAGAAAAUUUGCGUUGGGCCACGGGCCGCCGCCUACCCGGCUCCAGCCGAACGCGCGCCGGCCGCUCUGGCACGGCGGCGGGUUCAGCCUCGGCGUGGACCUAAACGCUUCAUUUUUACGAAAAAAAAACCUAUCUUUGUUUGAAAUACAGUCCGCAAUCCUCUAAUUCAUCUUAUCCAAACUCCUUCCUUUCCAGCGACGGCGGAGCACGGGCAGGUGACGGGCGGCGCCCUUGUCGUCGGACGGCUACAACCGCGGUGGAGGAGAAGGCAGACGUCGUGGGUGCGUGCUUGGGUAAGGGAGGCCACCCUUGCUGUGCUCGUGGGCGUUCAUGGAGGAUGGAAGGGGGGACAGCUUCCUGUGGGUGCGCCGGCUGUGCUCGUGGGCGUUCAUGGAGGAUGGAAGGAAAUUGGAGGCCUGACCUGUCCUUCUCCAACACAAAUUGAUGGAGCGCCCGACCUGGAUUUGAUUGGCUGCUAUUAGUAAGGGUCCUCGGCCGGAAUCUCCAUCAGGUCGUGCCCUGGGACCAUAAUCUCCAUCAUCCCGUCGAAAUUGCAAUUUUUGACCAAACGUCCAAUGUCACCGCCAAGUUCGCCGGAGGAAAAAGCGCCGAGUUCGCCGGAGGAACAAGAACAUCCGUCGAGCCGUGCAAUGUCUCCUAUGGAGGCUACACGAGAGGUACGUAUCCCCUUGAAAGCUAAUCACUCGAUGGUAUCCCCUGUUUUAGUCAUUGUUUCUGUCCCAUCACUCGAGGGAGUACUAAACAACUUUUCUCUCUGUAGUUUCUGGGGUUGUCCAACAUGUGUUUCUCAGAUUAAUGCCUUCAACACCCCUCUUUCCACAUGCAUGCAUGUAGUAGCAGAUUGCCUGAUCUGUUGGCCUAAAUAUUCUCUUUGCAGUGCUCUUAUUAUUAGUUCAGACUUGCAGACCCAUGUUUUUUGCUCAAAUCAAUCUGUCAAAACUCCAUUACAGUUGCACAAGACCUGAUAUGCAAACGUUUGCGUGGAGCUAACUUCUUUGGGCAUGCGGCCAGUGUGUAUGUGCAUAUUUUUCAGUAGAAUUAAGUGCCUGGUGCCACUUGAAAGAAUAAAAUAAUGAUCAGCUAUUUUUUGUUACAGUUACGAUUUAGUCAACAUUGAUGUCCUUCUGCAAAAAGCUUAUUUUGAUCUGGAGUUGCAAAGAUUUUUUACAAGCAUUUGUAGAAUGGGAUGCGCCGUCGCCGCCGCCAGCACGGUCCCAACAGCUGCCGCGAGUCUCCACGAUCGACGUCGCCGUCCGUCUGUGCCCCGAGCUCGACGGUUCUCCGGCUGACAAGCAUUCGUUCAUGUCCCCGCCAGUGUUAGGCGUUGCUCGCCACCGCCCCAGAUCGCUUUCGUGCGUCAUCGCCGCCCCAAGCUCCAUGAGCUAAUUGAAGAGGGAGUGCUUGGCCUGCUUCAUGUAUUGUCUCAAAACAACUUGCCGUGCCAUAUUUCUGUGCUUCAUGUAUUGUCUGAAUACUUGAGAGUUUCAAGGAUCCCAGAUGUUCCAAAGGA
Molecule: long non-coding RNA, 1546 nt
Organism: Aegilops tauschii subsp. strangulata
Lineage: Eukaryota; Viridiplantae; Streptophyta; Magnoliopsida; Poales; Poaceae
Source: RefSeq, a predicted model, not a curated record